AGUGAACGCUGGCGGUAGGCCUAACACAUGCAAGUCGAACGGCAGCACAGUAAGAGCUUGCUCUUACGGGUGGCGAGUGGCGGACGGGCGAGGAAUACAUCGGAAUCUACUUUUUCGUGGGGGAUAACGUAGGGAAACUUACGCUAAUACCGCAUACGACCUACGGGUGAAAGCAGGGGAUCUUCGGACCUUGCGCGAUUGAAUGAGCCGAUGUCGGAUUAGCUAGUUGGCGGGGUAAAGGCCCACCAAGGCGACGAUCCGUAGCUGGUCUGAGAGGAUGAUCAGCCACACUGGAACUGAGACACGGUCCAGACUCCUACGGGAGGCAGCAGUGGGGAAUAUUGGACAAUGGGCGCAAGCCUGAUCCAGCCAUACCGCGUGGGUGAAGAAGGCCUUCGGGUUGUAAAGCCCUUUCGUUGGGAAAGAAAAGCAGCAGGUUAAUACCCCGCUGUUCUGACGGUACCCAAAGAAUAAGCACCGGCUAACUUCGUG
This 492-nucleotide ribosomal RNA is filed under the name uncultured bacterium. RNAcentral describes it as "partial 16S ribosomal RNA". It matches the Rfam family "Bacterial small subunit ribosomal RNA", at positions 29 to 507 of the family's 1533-position model. The record is from RNAcentral.